CAUGAAUGCAAUAAAAACAUAAUGAGAACUACAAGGAAAUAAAUUAAUUCUAAAAAAGAAAAUCUAAUAUAAGGGCAGCAAAGUUCAAAUAAAGCCUGCUCUCUAGUUUCUAACAAGAUCUGUGAAAUGUCACCAAUAUUAGACUUAAUAUUGCAUUGUUAUGCUUCACUUGUUAAAAUAUUUUCAUUAUACGCAAACUUCACUGAAUUUUUGGCCUCUCUUUCUAUUUUUUUUCCUACAUUUUGAAAAUUUCCAUUUAAUAGUUUGCCAGUUAAAAUGAUAAUGUAUUGUAAUAGGGAGGAUUACAAGCCUUUGCUCUUAAGAUAAUAGGAAGCUCACUGCUCACAGGUGUUGAUGAGCUAGGAAAGGAGUAGUGUGGAGCUCCUGGAGGUAGGUAGAACACAGCUACUGCCUUUGGAUGGAAGGAAGAGAAAAUGGCUCGAUUAACCAAGCAUCUUUUCUGCUUGAGAGAACAGUACAAAUACAGUCCUCAGCUGUACAAUUUCGCAGUCGUGUUCUGCACCUGAAGAAACUACCCUUCAUAUUAGAAUAUCUGUCACAUGCAGCUAGAAAAGGUAUCAUGAAGGAAGAGGAGAAUCUUUUUGUGGAGGAGGGAGGAGAUGAGAACAAAUCAUUAUUUGGGAACUGGUAAACAGUAUGCAAAAGUUUGUUUUUCAAGACAUUGAAAAGGCAGAUGACUACCAAAAAGCUGUGACUGACCAUAAGGAUUGGCAAUGUUUGUAAUUGAGAGCUAUUCUAACUGUGGAUGUUCGGAGUAGAUAAUGUCUAGGAAACUUUUUUUUUUAACAAGGUUGUUGGAUUUUGCAAAGAAUUGGAUCUGUGUAAACUGUUCCUUCAAGACAGGUGGAGCUAACUUAUAAAGUCUUU
Molecule: long non-coding RNA, 888 nt
Filed under: Phasianus colchicus (ring-necked pheasant)
Lineage: Eukaryota; Metazoa; Chordata; Aves; Galliformes; Phasianidae
Description: lncRNA (ENSPCLG00000003723.1)
Source: RNAcentral